Long non-coding RNA from Physeter macrocephalus (sperm whale), 1446 nucleotides. RefSeq lists it as uncharacterized. NCBI's taxonomy places the organism in Eukaryota, Metazoa, Chordata, Mammalia, Artiodactyla, Physeteridae. The record is from RefSeq and is a predicted model, not a curated record. The transcript is spliced from 2 exons.
GAUGUCAGGUGUCUGAGCCCAGCAGUCCACAGGAGGGUGGGAGGGAGACUACUGGGGGUGCAGACGGGUUCACAGUCAGCACACGCCCGGUGAGGCACACGGUGUGGAGGUGAAGAACUGGGUCUCUUGCCUUAAAGAGUGGGUGUGUAUAAGUGGGCUUCUCUCUCUCUUUUUUUUUUUUAAAGAGCUCUGGGGAGUGGCAGGGAGACUUCACAAAGGAAGCAGACUUGGGUUUUAUUUUAUUUUUAUUUAUUUUUUAAUUUUUUAAAAAUUUAUUUUAUUUUAUUUUAUUUUAUUAUUAUUUUUUGGCUGUGUUGGGUCUUUGUUGCUCCACGCGGGCUUUCUCUGCCUGCGGUGCGGGAGCUACUCUUCGUUGAGAGCUGGCGGGGCCAGACGUGAGGGCAGUCUUGGAGGGAGCGUGCUCUUCUGCUUCUCCACCAAGAUUCUCUCCCGGACCCGGUCGGCUCCGCGUGCCCGACAGACUGCGCAGCGAGAACAGCCGCCCAGGCAAGGGCGGGGAGGGAGAGCCCUGCGGGCCCGCGCGGCCGUGCCUCCCGCUCGUCGGUGGUCGGGGCACCGCCGGUGAGCCGGCUGUAAGCUCAUGAGUGCGUGGCUCCCGGGCGGCUGGCCCGCGUCCGAGCACAAGCGUCCGGCCCUCCGUCUGACCGUGUUGUGAAAUGCUCUCCCGCUCCUGGAAGGGGAACAGCAGUUCUAGGAAUUCCGCACUUGUACUCUGGUCGGGCCUCACGUCCUGCGGAGGAGCGCUGCUGCCAGAGAGGCCCGGGGAGAGCGAGCGACCAGCGUCUCAACUUACAGGGUCUCAACUUACAGGAGCCGUAUCCAGACGCCGCUUGGCCCCCAGGGGAGGGCGGGACCGCAGGGGGGGGCCGGGGAUGAAGAAGGAAUCUAGGAGGCCUCCCUCCCAGGGAACAUCCUGUUCUGGCCAAACAGGCGGGAAAGGAGGCAGAAGUCUGGAGACCCCUAGGACUUCCCCAGUGGCCGGUGCGGUGGCCCCGCUGCCCUGCUCAUGAUAAACAGAGGCUGGUGUUGGAGGCGGCACGGGCUGGGUCUGCCUCAGGAUGGCUGCGAGGGGCCGGCCUUUCUGAGCCUCAGUUUCCUGUCUGGGAGUCGAGGACAAUGUGUCUCCCUCCUGGGGGUCGAGGGGGCCACGGAGACCUAGCAGGUCAGGCUCUGAGCGCCGCCCCCCUGCCCACAGGCAGGCAGGGCUCACGUGGUGAUGUGAUCUUCAGGCCACUCCUGGGAGGCGCGGGUCUCGUUUGCACCGAGCUGUGGAAUGAAGCUGGGACUGGGAGGUGAGGGCUGGUGUGUGGCGCACCCGGGUUUGAGCCCAGAACUGCUGCGUCCCCGGCCCCGGGCUAGUUACACUUGAAAAGCACCUGCCCACAAGGAGAUCCUAAAAAUAAAUGGUUGGUGUCAGAGCUGGAA